UCAUCUAUCUACUCCUAACACGUCCAGAGACACCAGGGCAAAGGGCAGGGCUACUUUGGCAGUCCCAUGCCUUUAUUGGAGAAAAGGGAAACAGACCAAUACUACACAGGUCGUCAAGACCAUGACGAUCACCAAUAUUUAUAUACCAAUAUACCGUGCACCUUCAGCAAGGGAUCUCGAACACCACCCAAUCAACACCCCCUGCCUUCCACUUACGUGACAAAAAGCUGGGGCGUGGGCCUCGGUCACCUUCGUGAUCUUCAGGCAAGUCCACGCGAAGCAGACCGCCGCAGAGGAGACUGCGUUGCAUUGGAAGCAGACACUGUUGGGGCCGACGAAGAGAAGAAGCCUUGCAUCUCCGAGGACCGGUAUCUACCGGAAUCACCCGGCAACCGCAUGUAAGAAGCCGAAGGUGAGUCCUCGAACCAUGGAGUCCCCAGAGGAGUCUGCCCACCACUCCUGUAUUGGACUAUGGUCCUAUAGACUAAUGGAAUGAGUCCUUCCAUCUCUAUGAGAGCAGAAGACCGAGCUUCUUUAGCAAGAUAGUAAACCUUCUGCUCCUUGUCUUGCUCGAGGGAUGAGGAGCGGCCGGCUGAAAAAUAUUGAGUAUGAGAAUGGUUUGCGCUUGUUUAGAGGGGAAAAACGGGGGAGAGGGGUUACUUUAAAAAGAGGAGACUCGAGGUUGGAUGACGUGGAAUGGCGGGGGGCGUCAUCCAAAGCCGGAUUUUCGUAGGGCGAAGCCAAACAUACUCGGUCUUCGGAGAAGAA
Molecule: long non-coding RNA, 768 nt
Filed under: Phoenix dactylifera (date palm)
Lineage: Eukaryota; Viridiplantae; Streptophyta; Magnoliopsida; Arecales; Arecaceae
Description: long non-coding RNA (PDAC_LNC001113)
Source: RNAcentral